RNAcentral lists this unclassified non-coding RNA (338 nucleotides) under soil metagenome. Its description in RNAcentral is "partial contains 5.8S ribosomal RNA, internal transcribed spacer 2, and large subunit ribosomal RNA". The stretch from base 1 to 120 matches the Rfam family "5.8S ribosomal RNA", at positions 35 to 154 of the family's 154-position model. The record is from RNAcentral.
GAUGAAGAACGCAGCGAAAUGCGAUAAGUAGUGUGAAUUGCAGAAUUCAGUGAAUCAUCGAAUCUUUGAACGCACAUUGCGCCCUUUGGUAUUCCUUAGGGCAUGCCUGUUCGAGCGUCAUUUGAAACCUCAAGCUCAGCUUGGUGUUGGGUGUCUGUCCCCGCCUCACCGCGGGGACUCGCCCCAAAAUCAUUGGCGGCCGGUACGUUGGCUUCGAGCGCAGCAGAAACGCGAACUCGAGGCCCGGCGGAUCGGCGACCAGAAGUCACUUCUUCACAGUUUGACCUCGGAUCAGGUAGGGAUACCCGCUGAACUUAAGCAUAUCAAUAAGCGGAGGA